Long non-coding RNA from Octodon degus (degu), 91 nucleotides. RefSeq lists it as uncharacterized. The transcript has 3 exons. NCBI's taxonomy places the organism in Eukaryota, Metazoa, Chordata, Mammalia, Rodentia, Octodontidae. The record is from RefSeq and is a predicted model, not a curated record.
UAGAAAUUCAGUGAAGGGGCCGGGUAGAUGACUCAGUUGAAUAAUCACUUGCUUGGCAAGUACAAGGGCCUGAGUUCAAUCCCCAGUUCUG